GUACUGCUGAACAGUUCCAGAAUAAGAUGAAACAGCUGUCCAGUAC
This 46-nucleotide non-coding RNA is filed under the name Trichobilharzia regenti. Lineage: Eukaryota; Metazoa; Platyhelminthes; Trematoda; Strigeidida; Schistosomatidae. The record is from RNAcentral.